Molecule: long non-coding RNA, 301 nt
Organism: Gopherus flavomarginatus (Mexican gopher tortoise)
Lineage: Eukaryota; Metazoa; Chordata; Testudines; Testudinidae
Exons: 3
Source: RefSeq, a predicted model, not a curated record
UCGUCAAGGUAUUAUACUAGCGUUAUGCUCACUUAAAAGGCAAUAUUUUUUCUUUUAAAUAGGACGAGGCCUUUUUUCUUGACAUUCCAGAUGCCGCGCUACAAGCUUUAAACUUUGAACAAGAUGGAAGUCAAAACCACCCAAUAGUUUUCCUGAAAUUACAGAAGAAGACUCAUCAAGCGUUAUUCCUCAAGAAGAAAUGUUGAAGGUGAGCGCGCUUAAAGAGGCCAAGAAAUUUCCCUUUGAGGCAGCUGCAGUUGGAAGCAAGGGUAUUAAGCACAGCGAUUUUGAACAGCCCUGC